AUGGCCAUGGCCCAGUCGUUCUCCGCUCGCCGCCCGCCCCCCUCCCCGGCGCUCGCCUCCCCCUCCUCCCCGGCCUCCUCCUGGUCUCCCCCGAGGCGCGGGCCGCGGCGCCGCCGGGCCCUCACGGCCGCGUCCUCCCUCCAUUUCCGGCCGGAGGACGUCGCCGAGCUCGCGCACAACAAGGUCUUGAUUGCGGCGACGGUGGCGGGCGUGAUCGGGCAGCUGGCCAAGCCCUUCACCUCCGGCAGGGACAGGGGCAAAAUCGACAUCGUCAAGGCCGCCGCCCAGUCAGGGGGCAUGCCCUCCACCCACUCAGCGGCAGUUGUGGCAGUGACUACCUCGCUUGCGCUAGAAAGGGGGUUUGGUGACUCCAUAUUCGGGAUGUCGGUGAUAUUUGCCUCGCUUGUAAUGUAUGAUGCUCAGGGAGUCAGAAGAGAGGUGGGCAAGCACGCAAGGCUUUUGAACAAGCUAUGGGCCCUGCGGGAGCAGACGACGACUCAAGUUCAGGAGGACGGUGGUGGCCAGGUGAAUUCCACCUCCGAACUCCUCCCCGCAAACCGCGAGCUCGUCUCCGUUCCUCGGGACGCAUCUACGUCGCAGCGUUCAAACGGCAUCCCCUCCUCGACGCGCAACGACGCGACAAAACCGCCUAGAUGGAGCUCCCUCCAAAGCUCAGUGCCAGAGCUAACCGAGUUGACAGAGGAGCAUGGCCGGCUGAGCGAGUCCGUCGGCCACACGGAGGCGCAGGUCACAGCCGGCGCCUUGCUAGGCUUUGUUGUAAGCUUAGCCGUCCACGCGAUACUGUAA
RNAcentral lists this ribosomal RNA (807 nucleotides) under Triticum aestivum (bread wheat). Its description in RNAcentral is "partial small subunit ribosomal RNA". Lineage: Eukaryota; Viridiplantae; Streptophyta; Magnoliopsida; Poales; Poaceae. The record is from RNAcentral.